Molecule: transfer RNA, 67 nt
Filed under: Eupelmus anpingensis
Lineage: Eukaryota; Metazoa; Arthropoda; Insecta; Hymenoptera; Eupelmidae
Description: tRNA-Pro
Source: RNAcentral
CAAAAAAUAGUUUAUUAAAAAUAUUAAUUUUGGAGAUUAAUGAAAUAUAUUUAUUAUAUUUUUUUGA